CCACGCAGUAAACGAUGAUUACUAGCUGUUUGCGAUACAAUGUAAGCGGCUGAGCGAAAGCGUUAAGUAAUCCACCUGGGGAGUACGUUCGCAAGAAUGAAACUCAAAGGAAUUGACGGGGGCCCGCACAAGCGGAGGAACAUGUGGUUUAAUUCGAUGAUACGCGAGGAACCUUACCCGGGCUUGAAAUGCAUCUGACCGGCCUUGAAAGAGGCUUUCCCUUCGGGGCAGAUGUGUAGGUGCUGCAUGGUUGUCGUCAGCUCGUGCCGUGAGGUGUCGGCUUAAGUGCCAUAACGAGCGCAACCCUCAUCAUUAGUUACCAUCAGGUCAAGCUGGGGACUCUAAUGAGACUGCCAUCGUAAGAUGUGAGGAAGGUGGGGAUGACGUCAAAUCAGCACGGCCCUUACGUCCGGGGCGACACACGUGUUACAAUGGGUGGUACAAAGGGCAGCUACCUGGCGACAGGAUGCUAAUCUCCAAAACCACUCUCAGUUCGGAUCGGAGUCUGCAACUCGACUCCGUGAAGCUGGAUUCGCUAGUAAUCGCGCAUC
This 551-nucleotide ribosomal RNA is filed under the name uncultured bacterium. Its description in RNAcentral is "bacterial SSU rRNA". It matches the Rfam family "Bacterial small subunit ribosomal RNA", at positions 795 to 1350 of the family's 1533-position model. The record is from RNAcentral.